AGGCCAUACAGGAUGAUGUGCCUGCUGUUUUGAUGCUGCAUCUAGGGGUUCCAGUGUGCUCUCUGCUGGUGAUGCCAUUCCCCAUUUCCCCACCUUGGAAAACAACUGAUUCAUUUUUAUUACUGAACCAAAACAAAACAACAACAAUAGCAAAAAAAAAAGACAAAGGUAAAAGUAUAAGUUGCUAAACUGUUUUCAAGAAUAUUAUUUGCUUGACUUUUUGCUGGAUUAGAAUCUAAGAUGAAAUGCAAAUAGGACAACGGCUACUGGGGAAAAAUAAUGAAGAAAUCUGUAUCCAUGGAGGACAGACAUAGGAGGGGUGAGAGGUUGAGGGACAGGACAUAGAGAUUUUAUAAGACUUUGCUUUUGAUUAGAUUUAGAAAGCUCCGUUAAAGGUAAAAAAUCUACAGGAAGAUUGAAAAUAACCAUUCGAGGUUGUAAGAGUGAAUAACAGCAAGUGUGUAGUACUGGUUUGCAACAUGGUAGACCAGGAAAAGGAUACUGGAAAAACCUCUCACAUACACAACUAUCGGGUCCACGAUCACCAAAACUGUUCCACUGUCUGAUUUGUUCUCUUGGCUUCUGAAAUCACGUGUUUCUGUUUUUAGAAUUGAUUAUAGCAAGACAUCUAAAAAAGAAAAGAUGUUGUUGUUUCCAAAUCUAUGAUUCUUGUUACGGGAAGAAAAAAAAAAAAAAAAGGCAUCCGAAGAAAUCCCAUUGAUGAACAGAAAAUUAAAAUUCUUCUGAGAAGAAAAAGACAAAGAAGGGAAAUGAGAAAUUUGUAGAAAUACUGAAAGCCUUCAAAGCACUUCUGUGUUAAACAUUUAAGCCAGAACACUUCCAAAUAGAUGGCGCGUGCUCAGCUUUGGUAAGCUGCACAAGACUUGAAACAGAGGGUUCAGGUAUGUGGAGCGAGCCAAGAUGGUGAUUUAGUAGGACAGCUUUUCCAUAAAAGUAUGUGAUUGAGAACUACAUUUCUCUAUAAAUCUGUGUUAUAUAUCAAAUACUAAUGUGUAAUAUCCCUGUUUCUAUAUCAAUCUAUUGAUAUAUAAUCACGUAACACAUUUCUCCUGUGAUUGUAGCUACACACUUUAGCUCUAGGUACUGGCCGCAAAUUCAUGCAUAUGGGUAAUAGCAGGCAGCAGACCAUGUAAACAGCCAGCAUAGCACACAGUGAAGCUCACAGAGAACACCUUUCUAUCACCAGCCCCUCUUCUAGAUGAUUUCCUUAGAGAUAUUAGAUAAACGAAUAAAAUAUUUCUUAAGUGUGAUAAAAUAUAUAUUGACGUUUUUAAAUAUUUUAUCUGGGAUUGAAUGGAAAUGAGCUCCGUCUGCCUCUGAGGGCACAGCGACGUGUGCAACGCGAUGUUUCCCUGCUACGCGCCUUAUCACACCGUCUACAUGCAAUCUUCUUCCUGCUACCGCUAUUCAUUUUUCAUGUGCCAAGUAUUCAUUAAUCCUUUAACCUCUGUAGGUAAAACCUAGUUUUUCUCUGCAGAACACUCAAGGCUGGGAAAUCAUUGCUCCCCAUUCCAAGAGCUAAUACUUGCGUUUUUAUUGAUAAAUCUGAAUAAAACCUAUAAAUCUGCCCAGGUAACAUUUCCAGUAGAGUUCUGUAGUAGCCUACUUCCUGCAGGAUUGCAUGUUUUAUCUUUUAAAACAUGGUGCUACAGUGUUAACUUUUGACUCGGGUUAAAUCUUCUGAAAACGAAGGAAUCACAUUCCUGAUCUCUGGUGAGUUUUUGGAGCUGGCAGUAUGUGUGAAGUAACAAUAAAUCUGCUGUUUGGGU
Coturnix japonica (Japanese quail) is the source of this 1790-nucleotide non-coding RNA. The record is from RefSeq and is a predicted model, not a curated record. NCBI's taxonomy places the organism in Eukaryota, Metazoa, Chordata, Aves, Galliformes, Phasianidae.